GACGAACGCUGGCGGCGUGCCUAACACAUGCAAGUCGAACGGAAAGGCUAUGCUUUAGUUGGCUGCACGAUAGGCGAAGGGGUGCGUAAGACGGGAGUACCCUGCCCUUGCCUUUGGGAUAACUUCAGGAAACUGGGGCUAAUAAUAGAUAAGAGCUCCUGAUGCAUGGUGGUGGUUGGAAAUUUUCGGAGGUUGGGGAUGGAAUCGCGGCCUAUCAGCUCGUUGGUGGGGUAGUGGCUUACCAAGGUGUUGGCGGGUAGCCGGCCUGAGAGGUUGACCGGCCACAUUGGGACUGAGGUAGCAGCCGUACGGCUACUUGAGGCAGCAGUGGAGAACAUAGCACGAUGCGCCGAAGCCGGAUGCAGCAACGUCGCGUGCGGGAUGACUGCUUUCAGGGUGUAAACCGCGUUCGCCUGGGACGUACCGUGUGUGACGGUAACUUAUAAAGAAGCACCGGCUAACUACGUG
RNAcentral lists this ribosomal RNA (468 nucleotides) under uncultured bacterium. RNAcentral's name for it is "partial 16S ribosomal RNA". It matches the Rfam family "Bacterial small subunit ribosomal RNA", at positions 28 to 507 of the family's 1533-position model. The record is from RNAcentral.